AGAGUUUGAUCAUGGCUCAGGAUAAACGCUGGCGGCGCACAUAAGACAUGCAAGUCGAACGAACUUAACUCAUUCUUUUAGUUUGAGAGCGGUUAGUGGCGGACUGGUGAGUAACACGUAAGCAACCUGCCUAUUAGAGGGGAAUAACAGUGAGAAAUCAUUGCUAAUACCGCAUAUGCUAACAGUAUCGCAUGAUACAGUUAGGAAAGGAGUAAUCCGCUAAUAGAUGGGCUUGCGCCUGAUUAGCUAGUUGGUGGGGCAAUGGCCUACCAAGGCGACGAUCAGUAGCCGGACUGAGAGGUUGAACGGCCACAUUGGGACUGAGAUACGGCCCAGACUCCUACGGGAGGCAGCAGUCGGGAAUAUUGCGCAAUGGAGGAAACUCUGACGCAGUGACGCCGCGUAUAGGAAGAAGGUUUUCGGAUUGUAAACUAUUGUCGUUAGGGAAGAUACAAGACAGUACCUAAGGAGGAAGCCCCGGCUAACUAUGUGCCAGCAGCCGCGGUAAUACAUAGGGGGCAAGCGUUAUCCGGAAUUAUUGGGUGUAAAGGGUGCGUAGACGGAGGAGCAAGUUGGUUGUGAAAUCCCUCGGCUUAACUGAGGAACUGCAACCAAAACUACUUCCCUUGAGUGUCGGAGAGGAAAGUGGAAUUCCUAGUGUAGCGGUGAAAUGCGUAGAUAUUAGGAGGAACACCAGUGGCGAAGGCGACUUUCUGGACAAUAACUGACGUUGAGGCACGAAAGUGUGGGGAGCAAACAGGAUUAGAUACCCUGGUAGUCCACACCGUAACGAUGGAUAC
This 800-nucleotide ribosomal RNA is filed under the name uncultured bacterium. RNAcentral describes it as "bacterial SSU rRNA". It matches the Rfam family "Bacterial small subunit ribosomal RNA", at positions 8 to 816 of the family's 1533-position model. The record is from RNAcentral.